GACGAACGCUGGCGGCGUGGAUUAGGCAUGCAAGUCGAACGGUAUCAUCCUUUCGGGGGUGAGAGAGUGGCGAACUGGUGAGUAACACGUAGGUUAUCUACCCUCAAGACGGGGACAACCCAGGGAAACUUGGGCUAAUACCGGAUGUGAGCAACUUUUAGUUGUUUGAAAGGUGGCGUAAGCUGUCGCUUGGGGAUGAGCCUGCGUCCCAUUAGUUAGUUGGUGAGGUAACGGCUCACCUAGGCAAUGAUAGGUAGGCGGCCUUAACGGGUGGUCGCCCACACUGGGAUUGAGAUACGGCCCAGACUCCUACGGGAGGCAGCAGUCGAGAAUAGUCUACAAUGGUCGGAAGACUGAUAGUGCGACGCCGCGUGAACGAUGAAUCCCUUCGGGGUGUAAAGUUCUUUUAUAUGUGAGCAGUGCUUCUUAUAUUAACAGUAUGGGGAGAGAGAUAUUAGCAUAUGAAUAAGCAACGGCUAACUCCGUGCCAGCAGCCGCGGU
RNAcentral lists this ribosomal RNA (501 nucleotides) under uncultured bacterium. Its description in RNAcentral is "bacterial SSU rRNA". It matches the Rfam family "Bacterial small subunit ribosomal RNA", at positions 28 to 521 of the family's 1533-position model. The record is from RNAcentral.